Long non-coding RNA from Triticum dicoccoides, 334 nucleotides. RefSeq lists it as uncharacterized. NCBI's taxonomy places the organism in Eukaryota, Viridiplantae, Streptophyta, Magnoliopsida, Poales, Poaceae. The record is from RefSeq and is a predicted model, not a curated record. The transcript has 3 exons.
GUCUCUCUGUCGACUAACCGCCACCACCUCCUUCCUCCUAGAGGCAACACACGAACAAUGCAUCCACCGACCGGCGGGCCGACCACCAAGGGUUAUGCCACAUCAUUCUGGUGCGAUGUCAGGCUUGUUGUUUGAUACGAGCAGCAAGUCAUGGGACAACAACGAAAGUACGGACGCCAGGCGUGGUAUGGAAGGAGCCAGCACAUGUGUUUGUUUCUCAAGAUUCACACUGAGCCAAUGCAAGCAAAGCCACCCUUGUUUGUCUCUGGGUGUUAAAGCAACAGCAACAUGGGCACAAUGCACCAGGAGUACCUGCCCUUGAGAAGGCUUGAAC